This 262-nucleotide ribosomal RNA is filed under the name uncultured bacterium. Its description in RNAcentral is "partial 16S ribosomal RNA". It matches the Rfam family "Bacterial small subunit ribosomal RNA", at positions 15 to 275 of the family's 1533-position model. The record is from RNAcentral.
GAUCAUGGCUCAGGACGAACGCUGGCGGCGUGCCUAACACAUGCAAGUCGAACGGGACUUGCCCCUUCGGGGACAAGUUUAGUGGCGGACGGGUGAGUAACGCGUGAGCAACCUACCUUUCAGUGGGGGGACAACAGUUGGAAACGACUGCUAAUACCGCAUAACACUUAUUUAGGGCAUCUUAAAUAAGUCAAAGAUUUAUUGCUGGAAGAUGGGCUCGCGUCUGAUUAGCUAGUUGGUGGGGUAACGGCCCACCAAGGCG